AUGAAACACUAGUUCUCGUACAAUCACCGAAGUUAAGCAACGUUGAACCUGGUCAGUAACUAGAUGGGUGAGAGCUUGGGAAUAUCAGGUGCUAUA
This is a non-coding RNA of Acanthosepion pharaonis, 96 nucleotides long. NCBI's taxonomy places the organism in Eukaryota, Metazoa, Mollusca, Cephalopoda, Sepiida, Sepiidae. The record is from the annotation of a GenBank genome assembly.